GUAAGGACAGGCACCUGGGGACAGGGAGUGGGGCUGACAGGAAGAGGUGCCUCCCAGAGGCAGGAGCAAUGGCGACGGCAGCAGCAGCAGCAGCAGCAGCAGCAGCAGCAGCAGCAGCAGCAGCAGCUUUGAGGAGAGACUGAGACUUGGCAAGGGAAAAGCUUGGUAACACACUGUAACAGCACCAGUCUCCUGCGGUGUGCUUACCUCACCCAGUCAGCCUGGAAGUCCUGAAAGAGUGAUGACUCUCUCCUCAGCGCUGGAGACUUGUCUCCAGGCCUGUGUGGGACAGUGGACCAUGCCAGGAAACUUGGGCUGAAAGCACAGAAUACGUGAUCAUCCUAAACCUUCACCCUCACUUUUGCCUCCAUUAUUUCGGGACUACAUACACAGCUGAACCCAGCUAGAUAGAAGGACCAUGUGCAGGUGAGCGGCGAAGGUCCCUCCCCCUUCACAGCUCCGUCUCAAUGUCAAGACACAGAUGUGACCACCUCUGUUGUCCAGAUCACUUCUGUUUCCCGAUGUCACCCCAGCCUUAGCCCAAGGUCUCUCCAGCUACAUGAAUGUUAGCUCCAUGUUCCACCAUGGUGGGCCUGGAGGAGGAGGCCCAUCAUUUCCUAAUAUCGAACAGGCAUCAUGGAUCCAGGUCCUCAUCUCCAGGCCUUUCCCACGCCUGUCUCCCAAAGCUGCAAGGCCAACGGGCAGAAGGG
RNAcentral lists this long non-coding RNA (710 nucleotides) under Mus caroli (Ryukyu mouse). RNAcentral's name for it is "lncRNA (MGP_CAROLIEiJ_G0005526.1)". The record is from RNAcentral. Lineage: Eukaryota; Metazoa; Chordata; Mammalia; Rodentia; Muridae.